AGCCCCGUGGUGUAGCGGUCAAGCAUCCAGGCCUUUGGAGCCUGGGACGGCGGUUCGAAUCCGCCCGGGGCUA
RNAcentral lists this transfer RNA (73 nucleotides) under Candidatus Woesearchaeota archaeon. RNAcentral describes it as "tRNA-Gln". It matches the Rfam family "tRNA". From Rfam's summary of the family: Transfer RNA (tRNA) molecules are approximately 80 nucleotides in length. Their secondary structure includes four short double-helical elements and three loops (D, anti-codon, and T loops). Lineage: Archaea; Nanobdellati; Candidatus Woesearchaeota. The record is from RNAcentral.